GAACGCCGUAGCAAUACGGAGUGGCAGACGGGUGAGUAACGCGUGGGAACAUACCCCUCGGUUCGGAAUAACUCAGGGAAACUUGAGCUAAUACCGGAUACGUCCAAGGUUUUAAUCGACCUUGGAGAAAGAUUUAUCGCCGGGGGAUUGGCCCGCGUCUGAUUAGCUUGUUGGUGAGGUAAUGGCUCACCAAGGCGACGACCAGUAGCUGGUCUGAGAGGAUGAUCAGCCACAUUGGGACUGAGACACGGCCCAAACUCCUACGGGAGGCAGCAGUGGGGAAUAUUGGACAAUGGGCGAAAGCCUGAUCCAGCCAUGCCGCGUGAGUGAUGAAGGCCUUAGGGUUGUAAAGCUCUUUUACCCGGGAAGAUAAUGACGGUACCGGGAGAAUAAGCCCCGGCUAACUUCGUGCCAGCAGCCGCGGUAAUACGAAGGGGGCUAGCGUUGUUCGGAAUUACUGGGCGUAAAGCGCACGUAGGCGGAUCCUUAAGUCAGGGGUGAAAUCCCGAGGCUCAACCUCGGAACUGCCUUUGAUACUGGGGAUAUCGAGUCCGGGAGAGGUGAGUGGAACUGCGAGUGUAGAGGUGAAAUUCGUAGAUAUUCGCAAGAACACCAAUGGCGAAGGCGGCUCACUGGCCCGGUACUGACGCUGAGGUGCGAAAGCGUGGGGA
RNAcentral lists this ribosomal RNA (671 nucleotides) under uncultured forest soil bacterium. RNAcentral describes it as "bacterial SSU rRNA". It matches the Rfam family "Bacterial small subunit ribosomal RNA", at positions 64 to 767 of the family's 1533-position model. The record is from RNAcentral.